This 305-nucleotide ribosomal RNA is filed under the name uncultured bacterium. RNAcentral describes it as "bacterial SSU rRNA". It matches the Rfam family "Bacterial small subunit ribosomal RNA", at positions 337 to 659 of the family's 1533-position model. The record is from RNAcentral.
GCCUACGGGAGGCAGCAGUAAGGGAUAUUGGUCAAUGGGGGAAACCCUGAACCAGCAACGCCGCGUGAGGGAAGACGGUUUUCGGAUUGUAAACCUCUGUCCUCUGUGAAGAUGAUGACGGUAGCAGAGGAGGAAGCUCCGGCUAACUACGUGCCAGCAGCCGCGGUAAUACGUAGGGAGCGAGCGUUAUCCGGAAUUAUUGGGUGUAAAGGGUGCGUAGACGGGAAAACAAGUUAGUUGUGAAAUCCCUCGGCUUAACUGAGGAACUGCAACUAAAACUAUUUUUCUUGAGUGCAGGAGAGGUA